Molecule: ribosomal RNA, 468 nt
Filed under: uncultured bacterium
Lineage: Bacteria
Description: partial 16S ribosomal RNA
Rfam family: Bacterial small subunit ribosomal RNA
Source: RNAcentral
GACGAACGCUGGCGGCGUGCUUAACACAUGCAAGUCGAACGGUGAUGCUCCAGCUUGCUGGCGUGGAUCAGUGGCGAACGGGUGAGUAACACGUGAGCAACCUGCCCCAGACUCUGGAAUAAGCGCUGGAAACGGCGUCUAAUACUGGAUACGAAACUGGCCCGCAUGGGCAUGGUUUGGAAAGUUUUUCGGUUUGGGAUGGGCUCGCGGCCUAUCAGCUUGUUGGUGAGGUAAUGGCUCACCAAGGCGACGACGGGUAGCCGGCCUGAGAGGGCGACCGGCCACACUGGGACUGAGACACGGCCCAGACUCCUACGGGAGGCAGCAGUGGGGAAUAUUGCACAAUGGGCGAAAGCCUGAUGCAGCGACGCCGCGUGAGGGAUGACGGCCUUCGGGUUGUGAACCUCUUUCAGCAGGGAAGAAGCGAAAGUGACGGUACCUGCAGAAGAAGCACCGGCUAACUACGUG